RNAcentral lists this ribosomal RNA (546 nucleotides) under Adenomera marmorata. Its description in RNAcentral is "partial large subunit ribosomal RNA". It matches the Rfam family "Bacterial large subunit ribosomal RNA", at positions 1916 to 2616 of the family's 2925-position model. The record is from RNAcentral. Lineage: Eukaryota; Metazoa; Chordata; Amphibia; Anura; Leptodactylidae.
GACAUUGUUCAACGGCCGCGGUAUCCUAACCGUGCGAAGGUAGCGUAAUCACUUGUUCUUUAAAUAAGGACUAGUAUGAAAGGCACCACGAGAGUCAUACUGUCUCCUUUCUCUAAUCAGUGAAACUAAUCUCCCCGUGAAGAAGCGGGGAUAAAAAUAUAAGACGAGAAGACCCUAUGGAGCUUUAAACAAGUAACACUUGCCUACCAAAUUUCCAAUUUCAGAAAAAUUUUCUACCCCGGCAUCAUGAUUAUUAGUUUUCGGUUGGGGUGACCACGGAAUAAAAACCAACCUCCGCAAUGAAAGACACUCAUCUACUUAGUUAAGGGCCACAACCCCACACAUCAACAAAUUGACACUAAUUGACCCAACAUGUUGAUCAAUGAACCAAGUUACCCUAGGGAUAACAGCGCAAUCCACUUCAAGAGCUCCUAUCGACAAGUGGGUUUACGACCUCGAUGUUGGAUCAGGGUGUCCUAGUGGUGCAGCCGCUACUAAAGGUUCGUUUGUUCAACGAUUAAAACCCUACGUGAUCUGAGUUCAGAC